CGUUCCAUGGCCAAACUGGUCAAGGCAUCGCCGAUUAUAAACGAAGAUGCGGGUUCUAGUCCCGCUGGAUCGA
RNAcentral lists this transfer RNA (73 nucleotides) under Operophtera brumata (winter moth). It matches the Rfam family "tRNA". From Rfam's summary of the family: Transfer RNA (tRNA) molecules are approximately 80 nucleotides in length. Their secondary structure includes four short double-helical elements and three loops (D, anti-codon, and T loops). The record is from Rfam by way of RNAcentral. Lineage: Eukaryota; Metazoa; Arthropoda; Insecta; Lepidoptera; Geometridae.